GGCGCCAGCAGCGCGCGCAGGAGCCUCGGGCCGGGCGCACCGCGGCGGCCACCUCUCGGCCCCGGCCGGCUUACGCAACCACCUCGCCUCCGUCAUCCGCGCCCUAAUUGUGCAGGGGGCGGUGUCUGUGUGCGGCGCGUUCUCUGCCCGCCGCGGGCCGCCGCGCUCCCCGGGGAGACGCGCGAGGGCCUGGUCACCGCCGCCCACGCAGCCCCGCGGGGCUCGGCCGCAGCCGCUCCCCCCCCGCCCCCCGCGGGCGGCUCGCCAGCGCCCCCCUCGCGCCUGCCCGCGCCCGCCCCGAGGAGGAGGGGCCCCCGCCGGGGUCCGCGCCACGCCCGGGUCCUCGGUGGGCAACAGGUAGCCGCGCCGCUGCGUGCUCGGGGACACACAAAGCGCCUCCGGGAGUGCGCGCGGCGGCCGCGGGGGGGGCGGCGCUGGGAGAGCCGGCCGGGGGCUCGGGCCCCUCCGCCGCCCCCCGCCCGCCCGCGGGCCCGGCCGCUGCGCACCCCCGGAGCCGGGCGCGGGGCGCGGGGCGCGGGGCGCGGGGCGCGGGGCGGCGGCCGCGGAGGGAGGCGGGCGGGCUGGCGGGCGGGCGGCGGCGCGGCGCGGAGGGGGGGCGGAGCGGGCGUGGGGAGGGGCGGGGAGGGGCGGGGAGGGGAGGGGAGCGGAGGGGAGCGGAGGGGGCGGGGAGGGGAGCGCAGGGGGCGGAGGAGGGGCGGGCCGGGGGCGGGGCCGCGGAGAGCCCGCCCCCGCCGGCCGCGGCCAUUGGCGGCGGGCCGGGGGCGGGUGCGGGCGCGGCGAUUGGGGCCCGGGCCGCCCGUCACGGCGAGGCUGGCGGGCGGCGACGUAGCGCGGCGCUCGGAACUGACCUACUAACACACAUCUCCCGGCGCGGCCACGGCGCCCGCGGACCCGGCGCGCCGCCCGCCGCCGCCGCCGCCGCCCGCCGCCCGCCUCCCGCGCCGCGCCCUCGCCGCCGCCCUCGCCGCCGCCGCCGCCCCGGAGGCCCAGCCCGAGCCCCGCGCGCUCGGGGCCCCGGUGCCCGGCCGCCCGCGCGCCCUCCCGCCCUCCCGCCCUCCCGCCGCCCGGCUCGCCGUCCCGAGAGCAGGAACACGGGAACCUAGGAGGACGACCCCUACUCCCUUCAGUGAGAGGAGCCGGAGAGCUUUGUUCCGGACCGCAGGACGGGAGGGCGCGUGUUGAUGGCUUGCACGCUGCAGCUUGUAAAGCAUUUGUGAAUACUGGGGG
This 1248-nucleotide long non-coding RNA is filed under the name Canis lupus familiaris (dog). Its description in RNAcentral is "lncRNA (ENSCAFG00000051892.1)". Lineage: Eukaryota; Metazoa; Chordata; Mammalia; Carnivora; Canidae. The record is from RNAcentral.